AAAUUGAAGAGUUUGAUCAUGGCUCAGAUUGAACGCUGGCGGCAGGCCUAACACAUGCAAGUCGAACGGUAACAGGAAACAGCUUGCUGUUUCGCUGACGAGUGGCGGACGGGUGAGUAAUGUCUGGGAAACUGCCUGAUGGAGGGGGAUAACUACUGGAAACGGUAGCUAAUACCGCAUAACGUCGCAAGACCAAAGAGGGGGACCUUCGGGCCUCUUGCCAUCGGAUGUGCCCAGAUGGGAUUAGCUUGUUGGUGGGGUAAAGGCUCACCAAGGCGACGAUCCCUAGCUGG
RNAcentral lists this ribosomal RNA (293 nucleotides) under Escherichia coli. Its description in RNAcentral is "partial 16S ribosomal RNA". It matches the Rfam family "Bacterial small subunit ribosomal RNA", at positions 1 to 290 of the family's 1533-position model. Lineage: Bacteria; Pseudomonadati; Pseudomonadota; Gammaproteobacteria; Enterobacterales; Enterobacteriaceae. The record is from RNAcentral.